AUGGCCGUGGUAGUGGCACAUCUCUGCCUUCAAGGGAUAACUGUCUACCCGUAUAUAGAUGACUGGUUGUUGGUGGUACCUUCUAGACAAUCACUGUUGCGUGAUCUUUGUUUUACUUUAUCGUUAUUAGAAAACCUUGGUUUAGUUGUGAAUCAGAAAAAUUCUCAUCUUAUCCCUACACAGAGGAUACGAUUUAUCGGAGCACACAUAGACUCUACCACUGGCAGAGCAUAUCUCCCGGACGAUCGGUUUCGAUCUCUUCUCACAGCGCUACUUACCCUCCUACAAGGUCCAAUGCCACGAGCCAGGGAUGUCCAGUCAGCCUUGGGAUAUCUAGCAUCCACAACAGUAGUAACACCUUAUGCAAGGCUCAGAAUGAGGCCUCUUCAGAUGUGGUUCUUGCGUGUCUUCGACCCGCUGACCCAAAGCCAAAACAUCUGUCUCCCUGUUCCGGCUUAUGUCUGCCAGUCCCUACACUGGUGGUUGUCCCGGGACAAUGUGUGCGUGGGUGUUCCAUUUCAGCAGCCACAAGCAACAGUGACUCUAACAACGGAUGCAUCCCUGUAUGGAUGGGGUGCACAUUCCAGCUCCCUUAUGGUCAAAGGCAAAUGGACACAGCAGGAGGCCCAACAUCAUAUCAAUCUCCUCGAGCUCAUGGCAGUACAGCGGAGCCUCUGUGCAUUUCAGGACUUGUGCCACGGCAAGGUAGUCCAACUAUGCACCAACAAUACCACGGUAGCGUGGUAUAUCAACAAACAAGGGGGCACAAAAUCACGCUCCCUCCUAAAGAGGACCAUGGACAUAUGGCAUUGGUGCUUAGCCAACCGCACCCAUUUGAUAGCUGUGCAUGUUCCGGGAGAGGACAACAGUAUCGCAGAUACAUUGAGCAGGGAACAAGACUCGACUCACGAGUGGUCCCUUCAUCCUGCCGAAGCGACUUCUCUUUUCCAGAGGUGGGGCAGUCCCCUGAUAGAUCUAUUUGCAGCACCACACAAUGCAAAAUGCGAUCUGUUCUGUGCCAGACGGCAGGAAGGCCAGACACGAGGGUGCCUGGGAGAUGCCCUCAUGUUCCACUGGUCGGGUCCACUUCUGUACGUGCUUCCACCAAUACCCCUUCUCAACAGAGUAGUAUCAAAACUGUAUCACGACAGAGCCAACUGCAUACUCCUCACGCCAUGGUGGCCCAGGCAGCCCUGGUUUGCUCUCCUUCGGAUGAUGUCGAAAGGGCAGUACCUUCCCCUUCCACUUCGCCCGGACUUGCUCCCAGCAGACCAGGGACGCCUCCGCCACCAGACAUCGCAUGUCUCAGACUCAUGGCAUGGAGGAUUCAUCCCGACCAUUGUCUCAAGCAGUGAGAGACAUAUUGGAUGCAGCACAUAA
This 1380-nucleotide long non-coding RNA is filed under the name Anolis carolinensis (green anole). RNAcentral's name for it is "lncRNA (ENSACAG00000036711.1)". The record is from RNAcentral. Lineage: Eukaryota; Metazoa; Chordata; Lepidosauria; Squamata; Anolidae.